AUGAUGGAGCUACCAGGGAGGCAUUAUUGGGUCUUCAGUGUCAACUUGAGGGACGGACGCUUCGAAGUUCUUGAUUCAAGCAGGACACUGGACAACAUUGAGCUGAUGAACAACGCCUCUACCAUUGCGGGGGCAGUACGCCAGCUAUGGAGGAAGCAUUACCCAAAGUUCAGCAUCGAGCACUUCCAGAUUAUUGACAUUGACGUACCAAAGCAGCUUGGCAAUAAUGAGUGUGGGUUGUUCGCACUGCUUAACGCCACCGAGUGGAAUGGUAGCCAACUGCCCAACUACGACCCCAAGGAAGUACUCAACAUCAGGAAGAAGCUGACGUAUGAUUGGGUCACCAGCGUGCACAACACCGCCCCAUGGAGGAAGUUGCUGAGAUACGACAAGGAGUAG
Molecule: ribosomal RNA, 399 nt
Filed under: Triticum aestivum (bread wheat)
Lineage: Eukaryota; Viridiplantae; Streptophyta; Magnoliopsida; Poales; Poaceae
Description: partial small subunit ribosomal RNA
Source: RNAcentral